Molecule: ribosomal RNA, 445 nt
Filed under: uncultured bacterium
Lineage: Bacteria
Description: bacterial SSU rRNA
Rfam family: Bacterial small subunit ribosomal RNA
Source: RNAcentral
GUGAGGAAUAUUGGUCAAUGGGCGCAAGCCUGAACCAGCCAUCCCGCGUGCAGGAAGACGGCCCUAUGGGUUGUAAACUGCUUUUCCGGGGGGAGAAUUUUUCCGUCGUGACGGGAAUUGACGGUACCCCGGGAAUAAGCAUCGGCUAACUCCGUGCCAGCAGCCGCGGUAAUACGGAGGAUGCGAGCGUUAUCCGGAUUUAUUGGGUUUAAAGGGUGCGUAGGCGGAAUGAUAAGUCAGUGGUGAAAACCUGCAGCUUAACUGUAGACUUGCCGUUGAUACUGUCAGUCUUGAGUGUGGUCAAGGUAGGCGGAAUGUGUAAUGUAGCGGUGAAAUGCUUAGAUAUUACACAGAACACCGAUUGCGAAGGCAGCUUACUGGGCCAUUACUGACGCUGAUGCACGAAAGCGUGGGGAUCGAACAGGAUUAGAAACCCUUGUAGUCC